AAAUAACUCAAUCCUGAAUUUCUGUGUCCAACGUUUGACCGUCCAUCUUAUUAGAAAAAAUUAUGAAAAAUUUUAAAAGAUAAGUCACGCAUAAAGUAUUAUUUAUGUUUUAUCAUCUAACAACAAUAAAAAUACUAAACAUAAAAAAAAAUUAUUUAAGACGGACAGACAAACGUUGAACACAGACACUUAGGAAUUGAGUUUUU
This is a non-coding RNA of Oryza glumipatula, 206 nucleotides long. The record is from Rfam. NCBI's taxonomy places the organism in Eukaryota, Viridiplantae, Streptophyta, Magnoliopsida, Poales, Poaceae.